RNAcentral lists this non-coding RNA (28 nucleotides) under Mus musculus (house mouse). The record is from RNAcentral. Lineage: Eukaryota; Metazoa; Chordata; Mammalia; Rodentia; Muridae.
UACUCAGCCUUGUUUUUCCUAAGGAAGU